RNAcentral lists this ribosomal RNA (467 nucleotides) under uncultured bacterium. RNAcentral's name for it is "partial 16S ribosomal RNA". It matches the Rfam family "Bacterial small subunit ribosomal RNA", at positions 28 to 507 of the family's 1533-position model. The record is from RNAcentral.
GAUGAACGCUGACCGAAUGCUUAACACAUGCAAGUCCACUUGAAUUUGGGUUUUUAACUUAGGUUUGGGUGGCGGACGGGUGAGUAACGCGUAAAGAACUUGCCUCACAGCUAGGGACAACAUUUGGAAACGAAUGCUAAUACCUAGUAUUAUGAUAAUAGGGCAUCCUAUAAUUAUGAAAGCUAUAAGCGCUGUGAGAGAGCUUUGCGUCCCAUUAGCUAGUUGGAGAGGUAACGGCUCACCAAGGCGAUGAUGGGUAGCCGGCCUGAGAGGGUGAUCGGCCACAAGGGGACUGAGACACGGCCCUUACUCCUACGGGAGGCAGCAGUGGGGAAUAUUGGACAAUGGACCAAGAGUCUGAUCCAGCAAUUCUGUGUGCACGAUGAAGUUUUUCGGAAUGUAAAGUGCUUUCAGUUGGGAAGAAAGAAAUGACGGUACCAACAGAAGAAGAGACGGCUAAAUACGUG